AACGAACGCUGGCGGCGUGCCUAACACAUGCAAGUCGUGCGAGAAAGUUCCUUCGGGAGCGAGUAAAGCGGCGCACGGGUGAGUAACACGUAGGUAACCUGCCCCCCAGUCUGGAACAACUAGAGGAAACUCUAGCUAAUGCCGGAUGAGACCACGAUCCCUUCGGGGGGUUGCGGCCAAAGAUGGCCUCUACUUGUAAGCUAUCGCUGAGGGAUGGGCCUGCGGGCCAUUAGCUUGUUGGUGAGGUAACGGCUCACCAAGGCUGUGAUGGCUAGCUGGUCUGAGAGGAUGACCAGCCACACUGGGACUGAGACACGGCCCAGACUCCUACGGGAGCAGCAGUGGGGAAUAUUGCGCAAUGGGCGAAAGCCUGACGCAGCGACGCCGCGUGGGUGAUGAAGGCCUU
RNAcentral lists this ribosomal RNA (406 nucleotides) under uncultured bacterium. RNAcentral describes it as "bacterial SSU rRNA". It matches the Rfam family "Bacterial small subunit ribosomal RNA", at positions 29 to 418 of the family's 1533-position model. The record is from RNAcentral.